GGGGACGGAGAAGGCUAUGUUGGCCGGGCGACGGUUGUCCCGGUUUAAGCGUGUAGGCUGGUUUUCCAGGCAAAUCCGGAAAAUCAAGGCUGAGGCGUGAUGACGAGGCACUACGGUGCUGAAGCAACAAAUGCCCUGCUUCCAGGAAAAGCCUCUAAGCAUCAGGUAACAUCAAAUCGUACCCCAAACCGACACAGGUGGUCAGGUAGAGAAUACCAAGGCGCUUGAGAGAACUCGGGUGAAGGAACUAGGCAAAAUGGUGCCGUAACUUCGGGAGAAGGCACGCUGACACGUAGGUGAAGUGAUUUACUCAUGGAGCUGAAGUCAGUCGAAGAUACCAGCUGGCUGCAACUGUUUAUUAAAAACACAGCACUGUGCAAACACGAAAGUGGACGUAUACGGUGUGACGCCUGCCCGGUGCCGGAAGGUUAAUUGAUGGGGUCAGCGCAAGCGAAGCUCCUGAUCGAAGCCCCGGUAAACGGCGGCCGUAACUAUAACGGUCCUAAGGUAGCGAAAUUCCUUGUCGGGUAAGUUCCGACCUGCACGAAUGGCGUAAUGAUGGCCAGGCUGUCUCCACCCGAGACUCAGUGAAAUUGAACUCGCUGUGAAGAUGCAGUGUACCCGCGGCAAGACGGAAAGACCCCGUGAACCUUUACUAUAGCUUGACACUGAACAUUGAGCCUUGAUGUGUAGGAUAGGUGGGAGGCUUUGAAGUGUGGACGCCAGUCUGCAUGGAGCCGACCUUGAAAUACCACCCUUUAAUGUUUGAUGUUCUAACGUGGACCCGUAAUCCGGGUUGCGGACAGUGUCUGGUGGGUAGUUUGACUGGGGCGGUCUCCUCCUAAAGAGUAACGGAGGAGCACGAAGGUUGGCUAAUCCUGGUCGGACAUCAGGAGGUUAGUGCAAUGGCAUAAGCCAGCUUGACUGCGAGCGUGACGGCGCGAGCAGGUGCGAAAGCAGGUCAUAGUGAUCCGGUGGUUCUGAAUGGAAGGGCCAUCGCUCAACGGAUAAAAGGUACUCCGGGGAUAACAGGCUGAUACCGCCCAAGAGUUCAUAUCGACGGCGGUGUUUGGCACCUCGAUGUCGGCUCAUCACAUCCUGGGGCUGAAGUAGGUCCCAAGGGUAUGGCUGUUCGCCAUUUAAAGUGGUACGCGAGCUGGGUUUAGAACGUCGUGAGACAGUUCGGUCCCUAUCUGCCGUGGGCGCUGGAGAACUGAGGGGGGCUGCUCCUAGUACGAGAGGACCGGAGUGGACGCAUCACUGGUGUUCGGGUUGUCAUGCCAAUGGCACUGCCCGGUAGCUAAAUGCGGAAGAGAUAAGUGCUGAAAGCAUCUAAGCACGAAACUUGCCCCGAGAUGAGUUCUCCCUGAGACUUAGAGUCUCCUGAAGGAACGUUGAAGACGACGACGUUGAUAGGCCGGGUGUGUAAGCGCAGCGAUGCGUUGAGCUAACCGGUACUAAUGAACCGUGAGG
RNAcentral lists this ribosomal RNA (1473 nucleotides) under Salmonella enterica subsp. enterica. RNAcentral describes it as "partial 23S ribosomal RNA". It matches the Rfam family "Bacterial large subunit ribosomal RNA", at positions 1468 to 2916 of the family's 2925-position model. Lineage: Bacteria; Pseudomonadati; Pseudomonadota; Gammaproteobacteria; Enterobacterales; Enterobacteriaceae. The record is from RNAcentral.